This 253-nucleotide ribosomal RNA is filed under the name uncultured bacterium. RNAcentral's name for it is "partial 16S ribosomal RNA". It matches the Rfam family "Bacterial small subunit ribosomal RNA", at positions 524 to 776 of the family's 1533-position model. The record is from RNAcentral.
UACGAAGGGGGCUAGCGUUGCUCGGAAUUACUGGGCGUAAAGCGCGCGUAGGCGGCUUUGUAAGUUAGAGGUGAAAGCCCGGGGCUCAACCCCGGAACUGCCUUUAAAACUGCAUCGCUUGAAUCCGGGAGAGGUGAGUGGAAUUCCGAGUGUAGAGGUGAAAUUCGUAGAUAUUCGGAGGAACACCAGUGGCGAAGGCGGCUCACUGGCUCGGUACUGACGCUGAGGUGCGAAAGCGUGGGGAGCAAACAGG